Molecule: small RNA, 334 nt
Filed under: Histoplasma capsulatum
Lineage: Eukaryota; Fungi; Ascomycota; Eurotiomycetes; Onygenales; Ajellomycetaceae
Also listed under: 1 other name
Description: hypothetical RNA
Source: RNAcentral
GGCCAUUGAGGAUUUUGCCAGAUUCUCUCACAGCUCAAUUUUUUUUAUGAAGCAACAUCAUGCCUGGUAUGGUUAUAUUCUUAUGGAUCUGUAGUUAGUCCCUGUAAGGCGCUGAGAUGAUGGCGGCAAUCUUGGUCUUGCUCAACUGAUUCUGUGGAACGCAUGGGGAAACCCUGGAAAGGAGCAGCUAACAGUCAUGCUCGCGCUUUGAUAUCUGUCUAUGCUGGCUGCGUAGAAUAAUGGUCCCCAAGGAGCUGGAAUAUUUGAGAAGCCAGUCAUAGUAUGCUGCUGAUCCCUACACAACAGCACCAAUGGAAAGAAUUUGUCAUGAAGA